GAUGAACGCUGGCGGCGUGCCUAAUACAUGCAAGUCGAGCGAACAGACGAGGAGCUUGCUCCUUUGACGUUAGCGGCGGACGGGUGAGUAACACGUAGGUAACCUACCUAUAAGACUGGGAUAACUUCGGGAAACCGGAGCUAAUACCGGAUAAUAUUUCGAACCGCAUGGUUCGAUAGUGAAAGAUGGCUUUGCUAUCACUUAUAGAUGGACCUGCGCCGUAUUAGCUAGUUGGUAAGGUAACGGCUUACCAAGGCAACGAUACGUAGCCGACCUGAGAGGGUGAUCGGCCACACUGGAACUGAGACACGGUCCAGACUCCUACGGGAGGCAGCAGUAGGGAAUCUUCCGCAAUGGGCGAAAGCCUGACGGAGCAACGCCGCGUGAGUGAUGAAGGUCUUCGGAUCGUAAAACUCUGUUAUUAGGGAAGAACAAACGUGUAUGUAACUGUGCACGUCUUGACGGUACCUAAUCAGAAAGCCACGGCUAACUACGUG
Molecule: ribosomal RNA, 497 nt
Filed under: uncultured bacterium
Lineage: Bacteria
Description: partial 16S ribosomal RNA
Rfam family: Bacterial small subunit ribosomal RNA
Source: RNAcentral